AUAUCAAUAAGCGGAGGAGAAGAAAUUAACUAAGAUUGCCUCAGUAACGGCGAGUGAAGCGGCAAGAGCCCAAAAUGGAAAUCUUGUACACAUCGUGUGCACGAAUUGUAAUCUAAAGGGAGUUCGCUCAACGGGCGGUGGCGCAGAAGUGUCCUAGAACGGACCGCCAGAGAGGGUGACAGCCCCGUACGUGGUGCCACUGCUUAACGAGCGGGUUUCCGAAGAGUCGGGUUGUUUUGUAUUGCAGCCCUAAGUGGGAGAUAAACUUCUUCUAAGGCUAAAUAUAUAUGGGAGACCGAUAGCGCACAAGUA
Molecule: ribosomal RNA, 312 nt
Filed under: uncultured Sterkiella
Lineage: Eukaryota; Ciliophora; Spirotrichea; Sporadotrichida; Oxytrichidae
Description: partial large subunit ribosomal RNA
Rfam family: Eukaryotic large subunit ribosomal RNA
Source: RNAcentral